GUGCCUAACACAUGCAAGUCGAACGGGGACUCUUUGGAUCAAGGCUUCGGCCAAGUGAAUUUGAGUUUAGUGGCGAACGGGUGAGUAACGCGUGAGCAACCUGCCUUUCAGAGGGGGACAACAGUUGGAAACGACUGCUAAUACCGCAUAACACAUUCGGGGGGCAUCCCCUGAAUGUCAAAGAUUUAUCGCUGAAAGAUGGGCUCGCGUCUGAUUAGCUAGUUGGUGGGGUAACGGCCCACCAAGGCGACGAUCAGUAGCCGGACUGAGAGGUUGAACGGCCACAUUGGGACUGAGAUACGGCCCAGACUCCUACGGGAGGCAGCAGUGGGGAAUAUUGGGCAAUGGGGGCAACCCUGACCCAGCAACGCCGCGUGAAGGAAGAAGGCUUUCGGGUUGUAAACUUCUUUUACCAGGGACGAAGACGUGACGGUACCUGGAGAAAAAGCCACGGCUAACUACGUG
This 465-nucleotide ribosomal RNA is filed under the name uncultured bacterium. RNAcentral describes it as "bacterial SSU rRNA". It matches the Rfam family "Bacterial small subunit ribosomal RNA", at positions 44 to 507 of the family's 1533-position model. The record is from RNAcentral.